Molecule: non-coding RNA, 1811 nt
Organism: Nicotiana tabacum (common tobacco)
Lineage: Eukaryota; Viridiplantae; Streptophyta; Magnoliopsida; Solanales; Solanaceae
Source: RefSeq, a predicted model, not a curated record
GUUUUUGGGUCAGAGACUCAAAGGUACUCCUUUUCACUCUUUUAACUCAUUUUCCCUCAAAAGCAACCCUAAGUAUACCCAAAAUUCAAGAAGUUAACAACGAUUUCUUCCAAAAAUUUCAUUUCCGUCGAAGAACCCAUGUCCUAGGCAUGUUUCUCAUUCUACUUGCACACCAAAUUGGGAAAUUAAAUGACAGGAAUUGGACGAGGUAGAGGUGGAAGGGAUGGAAAGGGCCGUGGACGUGACAACAUUGGAGGAUUUCGGACACAAACGCAGCCACAAGUAUCUCAGAGACAAAUACUGCCACAAGUAUCUCAGCGACAGUCACCGCCACAAGCAUUUCAGUCGCAAAUACAAGCUUCAAUAGAAUCUGGAUCAAGUAACUCUCGCCAUGGACUUCCGAUUGAGUCACACUCAUCACAGAUUUUUGUUGAAAGUGCACAUCCAACUCCGGAGAUUGAAAAUAGUGGCCCAGCUUCGUGCAACAAAUCAAAGAAAGGCAGAGGAAAAUAUAAAUCUUUACAAGUGGACAUAAAAACGAAGCACGGAAGUAAAAUUUCUAUUGUCAUUCCAGAUGACAUUAUAAGAGCCGUGGGUCCUGGGUCUAGGGAUAUUGUUAACUAUUGUGGCUUGAUUAAGCGAAGCACUAUCUCUUUUAGAGAUGGUAAUUAGCAGGCAAUAAUUGCAAAACAUGGAGAAGCAAUGUGAUUGAAGGUUAAGCUUUACAUAUUUAUCUUAGGAUAAAUUUGAAGCUAGUGGUAUGCGACAACAUGUGUUGCAAGCUCUUGUGAUCGACACUAUGCAAAGGCUUUUUAGAGCAUGGAAGACUCGACUGCAUGCUGACUACUUCCUCUAUGAUACUGAUGAAGAGAGAUUGUCUCAUAGGCCAGAUGAUAUUACACCUGAAGAUUGGGUGUCUCUGGCAGAACAUUUUGGAAGUCUAGCAUUCAAGGCUGUGAGUGAGAGGAACAAACUAAACAGGGGGAAACAAACAACUAAGCACUCAUGUGGCUCAAAGUCAUUUGCCGAAGUGGAGGAAUCGACGAGAAAUCCUGAUAAUAGAACAAAUGCAGCACCAGAUCGAGUUUGGGAACUCCAACACACUCGUAAAAAUGACCGAGGAAAAUAGGUGUGGUCGGAUCCACAGUCACAACAAAUUCAUGGCCUACUCCAAGAAAUUGUGGCUCAACAACAAUCUGAAGAAAAUGAGCUUCCAAUUAGUGCAGAUGAGAUUUUAACCACUGUACUUGGUGAACGAACUGGCUAUGUUCGUGGAAAAGGAUACGGAAAGAGGCCUCCAAAAAAGAGUCGUAUGCAGCAAUUAGACUUAGAGGCAGGUAUGUCUUCUGCCAUGGAAAGUAUGUGCCAACAGAUGCAAGCGGAAAUGGAUAGAAAAUUGCAAGAAGAACGUGAACAAAUGGCUGUUGAUUUGGAAAGAAAAUUAGAAGAACAAGUGGCUUCUAAGUUGCAAAGGAAACUAGAAGAGGAGCGCUCACACAUGGAUAUAAAAUUUGACAAAAUGAUCUAAGUGAAGGUGGAUGCGAUGAUGAUAAGAAUGCAACAGCAAGGAUGAAAUAUUCAACAAUGGGGAAAUGAAGUUGCUCAAGGAGUUUUUUGAAGAUGUUGCGGUACUUUGAAGAUAUUGGACUAGUUUACUGACUAUUCUUUUUGUAUAUGGUAGAAUACAUUGGCGUAUAUGAAAAUUGUUUAUGUGAUUUGUUGUUUGUACGCACAAUGAUAAUGUAUUGACUACUUUAUGUUGAGUUGACCUUAUAGCAAUGAAAAGAAUCUAUUGUUCAGAUUUCACAAUA